This 191-nucleotide unclassified non-coding RNA is filed under the name uncultured Ascomycota. RNAcentral describes it as "sequence contains ITS2". The record is from RNAcentral. Lineage: Eukaryota; Fungi; Ascomycota.
CAACCCUCAGGGCCCCCCUUUCCCGGGAGAGGCGACCUGGUGUUGGAGGUCGGCCGCCGCACCUGGCGGCCGUCUCCCAAAUGAAUUAGCGGUCCUGCUAAGGCUUCCUUUGCGCAGUAGUGAAAACAUCUCGCUCUGGGGCGUAGCGGUGUCCACGCUUUCCGGCGGCUCGCCGCCACCAUUUUUCUCAU